UACGUAGGUGCGAGCGUUGUCCGGAAUUACUGGGCGUAAAGAGCUCGUAGGUGGUUUGUCACGUCGUCUGUGAAAUUCCGGGGCUUAACCUCGGGCGUGCAGGCGAUACGGGCAAUACUUGAGUGCUGUAGGGGAGACUGGAAUUCCUGGUGUAGCGGUGAAAUGCGCAGAUAUCAGGAGGAACACCAAUGGCGAAGGCAGGUCUCUGGGCAGUAACUGACGCUGAGGAGCGAAAGCAUGGGUAGCGAACAGGAUUAGAUA
Molecule: ribosomal RNA, 261 nt
Filed under: uncultured prokaryote
Description: partial 16S ribosomal RNA
Rfam family: Bacterial small subunit ribosomal RNA
Source: RNAcentral